Ictidomys tridecemlineatus (thirteen-lined ground squirrel) is the source of this 72-nucleotide non-coding RNA. Lineage: Eukaryota; Metazoa; Chordata; Mammalia; Rodentia; Sciuridae. The record is from Rfam.
GGGGUUGUGGCUCAGUGGUAGAGCACUUGCCUAGCAUGCCUGAGGCACUGGGUUCGAUCCUCAGCAUCACAU